Non-coding RNA from Acanthosepion pharaonis, 114 nucleotides. NCBI's taxonomy places the organism in Eukaryota, Metazoa, Mollusca, Cephalopoda, Sepiida, Sepiidae. The record is from the annotation of a GenBank genome assembly.
CUACGACCAUAUCACGUUGAGACACCGGCCCCCGUACGAUCAACAAAGUUAAGGAACGUCGAGUCUGGUCAGUAUCUAGAUGGGUAACCGCUUGGGAAUAAAAAGUGCUGUAAU